This 227-nucleotide long non-coding RNA is filed under the name Homo sapiens (human). RNAcentral's name for it is "non-protein coding lnc-SIX5-1:2". The record is from RNAcentral. Lineage: Eukaryota; Metazoa; Chordata; Mammalia; Primates; Hominidae.
UGUCCCUUCUCUCUCCAGCUAGAUGGCCCCCCGGCCGUGGCUGUGGGCCAGUGCCCGCUGGUGGGGCCAGGCCCCAUGCACCGCCGCCACCUGCUGCUCCCUGCCAGGUCCCUAGGCCUGGCCUAUCGGAGGCGCUUUCCCUGCUCCUGUUCGCCGUUGUUCUGUCUCGUGCCGCCGCCCUGGGCUGCAUUGGGUUGGUGGCCCACGCCGGCCAACUCACCGCAGUC